UGGUUUCUCUUCAGAUUGCAUGAAUCUUUCACCUUUUACUAAAAAUUUCCCUGGAGAGGAACACCAGU
Molecule: small nuclear RNA, 68 nt
Organism: Pezoporus flaviventris
Lineage: Eukaryota; Metazoa; Chordata; Aves; Psittaciformes; Psittacidae
Product: U5 spliceosomal RNA
Exons: 1
Source: RefSeq, a predicted model, not a curated record